UAUAUUGAUGUGUAAGAUGGACAUUAGUUUUUGAUACUUUAAUUCUAUCUUAUAUAAUGAAU
Molecule: transfer RNA, 62 nt
Filed under: Locusta migratoria tibetensis (Tibetan migratory locust)
Lineage: Eukaryota; Metazoa; Arthropoda; Insecta; Orthoptera; Acrididae
Description: tRNA-Gln
Source: RNAcentral